Molecule: long non-coding RNA, 656 nt
Filed under: Monodelphis domestica (gray short-tailed opossum)
Lineage: Eukaryota; Metazoa; Chordata; Mammalia; Didelphimorphia; Didelphidae
Description: lncRNA (ENSMODG00000051455.1)
Source: RNAcentral
GGUGUUUCAACUUUUUAUAGCAUUACCUUUAUUUUUACCUACAGGAAGCAUGAAGUAACAGCUACAGAGAGGUCCUCAGAGCCAAGAGGAGCCGAGUUUGAUUGACAUAGGCUGAGUGGCUUCUUACAAUUCUUUUUACUUCUCAGUUCUCUAGAUAACAUUCUUAGACUAUCAAUUGUAGAGUAAUGCUGACUGAUGUUGAUAGGAAUUUUUGUAUCUGAGAAUUCCCCAUAUAAGUUAAAUUUUUUCCUCUGAAUGUGGAUAGUGUUCUUUCUCAUAAAUUCCUCUGAGCUGUUCAGGAUCCCUGCACUGCCACUAAUGGAUAAUUUAGCAAUUGUGAUCACAGAAGUGUUGCCAAUCUACAAGUUACAGUUGCCUUCAGAUCGUUCUUACUUCUCUUUCUGUCCAGAAAAUGUCUUUGCCAUUCAGGAAACAAAUUGAUUCAGAGAAGAGAUAAGAAGAUUCUAUGACCACAUCCAGAGCAAGAAAAGCAGGCUUCUGAAAGAAUUUGAAUCAUCAUCAUUUAAAGGUUUGACUAAUGGAACUAGAGACAUCUAGCUUGAAUAAUGGAAGAUGUAAAGGGUACAUGAUAGUUGUCUUCAGAUAUUUAAAAGCGAUAUUUUGGGAAGGGGUUAAUAAAUGUGCUCGGUGUUCCA